RNAcentral lists this ribosomal RNA (490 nucleotides) under uncultured bacterium. RNAcentral describes it as "partial 16S ribosomal RNA". It matches the Rfam family "Bacterial small subunit ribosomal RNA", at positions 30 to 507 of the family's 1533-position model. The record is from RNAcentral.
AUUGAACGCUGGCGGCAGGCCUAACACAUGCAAGUCGAACGGUAACAGGAAGAAGCUUGCUUCUUUGCUGACGAGGGGCGGACGGUUGAUUAAUGCCUGGGAAAUUGCCUGAGGGAGGGGGGUAACUGCUGUAAACGUAACCUAUACCCGCUUAACGUGGCAAGACCAAAGAGGGGGACCUUCGGCCCUCUUGCCAUCCGAUUGGCCCAGAGCGGAUUAGGUAGUUGGUGGGAUACCGGCGUACCUAGCCGACGAUCCCUAGCGGGUCUGAGAGGAUGAUCAGCCACACUGGAAGUGAGACACGGCCCAGACGCCUACGGGAGGCAGCAGUGGGGAAUUUUGGACAAUGGGCGGAGGCAUGAUGGAGCCAGGCCGCGUGCAGGAUGAAGGCCUUCGGGUUGUAAACUGCUUUUGUACGGAAAGAAAAGCCUUCUUUUAAUACAGGAGGGUCAUGACGGUACCGUAAGAAUAAGCACCGGCUAACUACGUG